RNAcentral lists this long non-coding RNA (888 nucleotides) under Physcomitrium patens. Its description in RNAcentral is "long non-coding RNA (PPAT_LNC013815)". The record is from RNAcentral. Lineage: Eukaryota; Viridiplantae; Streptophyta; Bryopsida; Funariales; Funariaceae.
ACAAAGUUAGAUUAAGCCGUUGUCGGGAUAGAGAGGUUUUGCCUCAAGAAAGCGUUGGACUUCUGGUUGUCACUAAUUGCUCAAUCAAGCUUAAAAUAAGGAAACCCUAAUUUUAUAUAUAUAAUUUCUCCUUUUGGGAUAAUUACACCAAAUACUUAAGUCUUAAAUAACCAAUAACAUCCAAAAUAUGGUAGAAGUACUCUAAAACCUUGUAUAUCCUUGUGUGGAAAUUCUCCCGAACCUCAACACCUCAUAACUCUUGAUCCAACCGUCCAAACAAGAUCAAAAUUUACAUGAAGUACUGAUUUGUUGUUAUUAAUUUGUACAACAAAUUUCAACCGCAAAUUCGUCGCGGAUCUUGAGAUAUCUUUAAACCCCUAACAGCCGCUUCAAACCCUAAUCUUUAUAUACCUGCACGCUAUUUUCUUCAUAUCUCACAAAUCAUAAGUCCAAAUGCCACGAAACUUAUAUAGAUAGCUUUUUAACAAAAAUUUUAACAUUCUCACAAAGUUUGAGCCAAAAUUUCAUUCGAAAACUCAAGUUAUGGCUCCUAACACUACUUUGAACAAAACCACUCACUUACUGCCUUUGAUUUGAAUGCGUUGUCUUUAACUCCCUAUAACUCCUUCACAUAAACUCCAAAUGCAAAAUUUCCUUCGCAAAAGAUGUAUGUCUUAAAGUUGCCCUUCCAGCCGCACCUUCCGAUCUCCAAAAGCUUCCAUAAGACUCCUCUUAAACUCAAAAGAGUAUCAGUAGGUCUCAAAUUGACACCUUAACUUCAAACGGCUAUAACUUAUUCACCCUAACUCCAAACCCUAUAAAAUUUGCACAAAAAUUGUAGCCAAAACCGUAAACUUUACAAUUCUUGCAUCUGAUUUCCUAAUGGCC